This 1265-nucleotide ribosomal RNA is filed under the name metagenome. Its description in RNAcentral is "bacterial SSU rRNA". It matches the Rfam family "Bacterial small subunit ribosomal RNA", at positions 243 to 1520 of the family's 1533-position model. The record is from RNAcentral.
AGCUUGUUGGCGGGGUAACGGCCCACCAAGGCGACGACGGGUAGCCGGCCUGAGAGGGCGACCGGCCACACUGGGACUGAGACACGGCCCAGACUCCUACGGGAGGCAGCAGUGGGGAAUAUUGCGCAAUGGGCGAAAGCCUGACGCAGCGACGCCGCGUGAGGGACGAAGGCCUUCGGGUUGUAAACCUCUUUCAGCAGGGAAGAAGCGAAAGUACGGUACCUGCAGAAGAAGCACCGGCUAACUACGUGCCAGCAGCCGCGGUAAUACGUAGGGUGCAAGCGUUGUCCGGAAUUAUUGGGCGUAAAGAGCUCGUAGGCGGUUUGUCGCGUCUGCUGUGAAAACUCGGGGCUUAACCCCGGGCCUGCAGUGGGUACGGGCAGACUAGAGUGCGGUAGGGGAGACUGGAAUUCCUGGUGUAGCGGUGAAAUGCGCAGAUAUCAGGAGGAGCACCGGUGGCGAAGGCGGGUCUCUGGGCCGUAACUGACGCUGAGGAGCGAAAGCAUGGGGAGCGAACAGGAUUAGAUACCCUGGUAGUCCAUGCCGUAAACGUUGGGCGCUAGGUGUGGGGCUCUUUCCACGAGUUCCGUGCCGCAGCAAACGCAUUAAGCGCCCCGCCUGGGGAGUACGGCCGCAAGGCUAAAACUCAAAGGAAUUGACGGGGGCCCGCACAAGCGGCGGAGCAUGCGGAUUAAUUCGAUGCAACGCGAAGAACCUUACCAAGGCUUGACAUGAACGGUAAUCCGGCAGAGAUGUCGGGUCCGUAAGGGCCGUUCACAGGUGGUGCAUGGUUGUCGUCAGCUCGUGUCGUGAGAUGUUGGGUUAAGUCCCGCAACGAGCGCAACCCUCGUUCUAUGUUGCCAGCACGUAAUGGUGGGGACUCAUAGGAGACUGCCGGGGCCAACUCGGAGGAAGGUGGGGAUGACGUCAAAUCAUCAUGCCCCUUAUGUCUUGGGCUUCACGCAUGCUACAAUGGCCAGUACAAAGGGCUGCGAGACCGUAAGGUGGAGCGAAUCCCAAAAAGCUGGUCUCAGUUCGGAUCGGGGUCUGCAACUCGACCCCGUGAAGUCGGAGUCGCUAGUAAUCGCAGAUCAGCAACGCUGCGGUGAAUACGUUCCCGGGCCUUGUACACACCGCCCGUCACGUCACGAAAGUCGGUAACACCCGAAGCCGGUGGCACAACCCUUGUGGAGGGAGCCGUCGAAGGUGGGACUGGCGAUUGGGACGAAGUCGAAACAAGGUGGCCGUACCGGAAGGUGCGGCUG